RNAcentral lists this ribosomal RNA (465 nucleotides) under uncultured bacterium. RNAcentral describes it as "partial 16S ribosomal RNA". It matches the Rfam family "Bacterial small subunit ribosomal RNA", at positions 28 to 507 of the family's 1533-position model. The record is from RNAcentral.
GACGAACGCUGGCGGCGUGCUUAACACAUGCAAGUCGAACGGAAAGGCCCUGCUUUCAGGGUGCUCGAGUGGCGAACGGGUGAGUAACACGUGGGUGUUCUGCCCUGCACUUCGGGAUAAGCCUGGGGAACUGGGUCUAUUACCGCGGAGAAGCCAUUUUGAUGGUGAUGGUUGGAAAGUUUUUUCGGUGUAGGAUGAGCUCGCGGCCUAUCAGCUUGUUGGUGGGGUAAGGGCCUACCAAGGCGGCGACGGGUAGCCGGCCGGGGUGGGUGGACGGCCACCUUUGGGCUGAGAUUAGGCCCAGACCUCUACGGGGAGGAGGGGUGGGGAAAAUUGCCAAAUGGGCGGAAGCCUGAUGCAGCGACGCCGCGUGGCGGGUGACGGCCUUCGGGUUGUAAACCCCUUUCGCUAGGGACGAAGCUUUUUGUGACGGUAACUAGAUAAGAAGCACCGGCUAACUACGUG